GUGACUCUUCAGCACCAGCCCAGCCUACAGAUAGGAUUGUGCCAUACUGCUGGACCCAGCACCUAGGUGAUGUAACUCUAUUCUCCUGCUACCCAAAAAGGACAUUGUAACAUAUCUCAGAGUCUUGCACCCAGGUGAUGAUACACUCUACUUAUGCCUGGGCCUUAACAAAAAGAGGGAUUGGGACAUAUCCCUGGACCCUGAACCUAAGAGGUGGAGGUUGCAGUGAGCCAAGAUUACACCACUGCACUCCAGCCGUGGUGACAGAGUGAGACUUCACCAAAACAAAACAAAAAAAACAACAAAAAAGUUGGAUUGUGACAUACACUUUAGUGCAGCUCAUAGUUAUGAUGAUGACACUCAUGCCACAAACCAGCCAAUAGGAGAGAGACUGCCACUUGUAGCUAGACUUACAGAAAUGAAUAACUCCUGAGUCUUCUGUAGUAA
This 447-nucleotide long non-coding RNA is filed under the name Pongo abelii (Sumatran orangutan). RNAcentral's name for it is "lincRNA". Lineage: Eukaryota; Metazoa; Chordata; Mammalia; Primates; Hominidae. The record is from RNAcentral.